AGGAUAAUGUUAUUUGAUUCCUUCCUGCAUUGUCUUCUUUUUGCAAAUCUAAUUUUUGUAUUUUCUCAAACCGCAUAUUUUAUUCAGUUAAUUGCCUCUCCUUUCAUAUUCCUGAUCAUUUAGAAUAACAUCUCUCUUUCGUAGCUUUUCUUUUCUUCUUUUGACAUUGAUCGAUGUGCUAUUUGUGCUCACUUCCAAGAUAUCCUCGAUAGUGUUGGUUGAAAAAAUAUUUUUGUUUCCUUAAUUGUUCAUCUGUUAUUCACUCAAGGAUUUUAAAAUUAUUUAUAAAUUCUGUAGAUUGCUAUCAUUUACAGGGUGGCUACCAGCCUUGAAUUUCGGGAGAAAUGGGGGAAAUGAAAGAAUUUUCAUUGUCUGGGGAAAAAAACCUGGAAUUAUGCUUGAAGUACUUAUCGCCAGGAAUUUCAUAUAUUGUCGCGGGUUGAAAUUUUGCAGGGUUGUUGAAAUCAAAUUUAGGGACUUUACUGACGGGACUCUGGGCUGGCUGCUCUGUUCACUCGUCAGCGCAAGUGGCGUGACCAUGUAAUUGGGGCACGGGGCCGGCGCGGCGCGCUGCGGGCUUGCAGAAUUUUGUUUGUUUGUUUGGCCGCGCGCUGGCGCAGCCACGGGCCGCAGUUACUGGGGCGCGCUGUCGUAACAAGCCGCGCGGUGUGGCCUGCACAUCGGGGUAGAGGGGGGGUAGUCUUCCCAGAUGUUCUAGUUAGUUGUUUAGUAAAUUUGACUUCAAUAACGAGCUUUUGUUAUGGUAGGCGCGGCAGGGCGCGCGAAUUUAAGCGCAAGUGAUUGGUGACUCGGGGCUCACUCAGGCGGAGGCUAUGCGUCUCACCUGUGGUCACGAGUUGUUAGUUCGUUCGUGAUGUAGGAAUUCAGGCUCACUCAGGCGGAGGCUAUGCGUCUCACCUGUGGUCACGAGUUGUUAGUUCGUUCGUGAUGUAGGAAUUCAAGCUUUCGGGCGGAAGCUAUGGUCGACGCCAGAGGCCACGAGUCGUUUAAUUUAAGUUAGGUCAUAAUGUAGUCGUCAAGCUUUCGGGCGGAGGCUAUGGCCCUCGUCAGGGGUCACGCGUCAUAGUUUUUAAAAUGUAAUGUUCGUUCGGGAUUUCAAGGGCAGGAGAGGCCCCUACGUUAUUUUUUUAAAGUAAUCGAUCAAGAAAGGCUUUUCGGAAAAUGUGAGUAUGGACUUAUCUUUGUUUUAAUUUUAAGUAUUAAUUAUGAUUUGAGGUAUUCGGAAGGACUAGGGAAGUGUUUAGUGAAGUUCUCUCAUUCUCUCUCUUGUAAGGUCGUUCAAUCGUUAAGGAAGUAAAGAGAUUAUUGUUUUAAAUUGUAAUCCUGCUAUUUAAAUGUUCUUUAAAAUGAUGUUGAGUAUUUGACUUUAAGAAUAAAAUAAUUUUAAUUAAGUAUUAUGUUAUUUUGCAAAAUCUCCUUAGUUCAGCUCUCACCAGACAUCCUGUACGGGAUGACGAACCUAUGAUCCUAGGUACAGUAAAGUAUUUUAUGAAGUUAAGACUAGUUGAUGCCAAGCGAGUUGUUUCUAUGUAAAGAGCUACGAUUCUCGCCCCCCCCUCUGAAGGUGGAUCGUGACAGAAAUGGCGGUGGCACCGGCUAGGUGUUCGUGACAGAAAUGGUAGAGUUCGCCGGAUAGGUUCUAUUUCUGGAGAGAGAGAGAGGUAGAUUUUUAUGUUUAUUAUUAAGUUAGUUUCAGCUUCUGAUAGCAGGUUAUUAAGAGUUUACUUGAGGAGAGGAUUACGGAAUUUUAGUCUAUAGUGGAGGAAGUCUUUGAGAUUUUUUUUUUGACGUAACAGAUGUUUAUUUGAGUAUACUUGUAAGGAUAAAGUUUAUAGUGAUAAGUUGUUUUAAGUCGUUGAGUUUAUCAGGGAUUUUUACGUGAGGAGAAUACGUUAUAAUUUAAAUGAUUAAUAGAGAUAAUGCAAGUGGUUUAAUUUAAUUGAAAUUAAUUUUAAGAUUGUAGGUUAAGAGAGUUAAAAUUUAAAAUAAAGUUUUUUUCGUAAAUAGGAAUUAUUUUCAAGAGAAGUUUGUUUUGUUUUCGUGCGCGUAGGAGACGAGACGUACGAAUUAAAUCAGUCGAGGAAAGGAUAAACGUUAGAAAGGAAUUAAAGAGAAAACGAGAGUUUAUGUAAAAGAGAGUUAUAGAAUUUAUAGUGAUGUUUUGUUUUAAUUAGAAAAAUGUUGAGAGUUGUUUCAGAACGACACGUCAGUGGACGUGGCAGAGUGAACACGUGACGGGGAGGUGCUGAGACCUAGCGGAGAACGGAGGAACCGCAAGCGAGGGUUGGCGCACCUGAUGGAAUUCGGUGACGUCACGGGCUCAUACGGAGACGUGGACAGGCCGUGACCUUGUUUUGAUCAGCUGUACGGUAACUUAGCGAUAAGAAAAUAGACUAUUGGUUAAAUAAAUUUAAAUUUAAGUGUGUUUUAGGAGAAGAGGAACUUUCAGUAUAUUCCUUAAGAUGAGCUGAGCAGCAGUCCAGUUUACAAGAUGACAAGAGUUCGAGAGACAAGAUACAAGAUCACUGAAACAAGAGCCAAGACUGAAGAUUCAAGAGAAGAGAAAGCUGGCAGCCAUGGACUUACAAGUGGAGAUUAAUAAGGUCAUGUAAAGUUUUAUUUUUUUUUAUGGAAGACAGUAACUGGAGUUUUUUUUUGUUAUAAACAUUAUUUACAGAACUUUUUAGGUUAUAGUAAUGUAAUGGAACUAGUGAGUUGUGGUAGCUGUCAAAAAGAACUAAUACAUUAAGUUUAAUUUUUAAAGUUAAUUUUCUUAAUUUACAGAGGGAUUAGUAGUUUUUUUUUAAACCUUAUUUAGGUUGGAAUUUAAAUACAAUAGCUUAUUAUAAAUGUGUACGAACAGUUCAAGUUCACAGUACUGAUAGGUAGGUCAGAUGAUCUUAUUGAUUUUGAUGAUUUGUUGUUUUGAGUUGAUUUUUAAGUGUUGUGAAUUAGACAAUGAAAUAGUUCUGAAAACUUAAAUUAUUUCAAGCUAAGAAAUAGUAAAGUUAAUUGUAACUCAAAGGACACCAGAAUUUAAUUUUUUUUUGAAUUAGUAAUGUUUGAAAAUUUUAUACUUUACAAGAAAGGUUAUAAACAAACAGAUCGGAUGGAACAAGGAUGCAGUAAAUCACAAUUUCAUUUAGAAUUAUUGAUUAGCUUUUGAGGUUAUGAAGUAAAAGUAAUUAUAGUUUAAAAGUUUGAAUUAAAAAAAAAAUGUUUUUUUUUUAUUUGUUUGAAAUAGAAAGUUUAAAAGUUAAUUAGUCAUGAUCUAGGUGGGUGAUGGGGUGGGAAUUGGCCACUCUUUUUCCCUAUAACCUCCCUAACAUGGCCUUCUAUUACAACUAACAGAAAUAAAGAAGAAGAAAAAUGAAGAAUUAUUAGUUAGAAUGUUUCUUUCAUGAAGAUACCUGAUGAACUUUUACUGUUUGGAAGAAUAGUAGCAAGAUUAAUCAGAUGUUUUACUCAGAAGAAGAAGAAGAAGAAGAUAAAGCAGUUUUAUGACUCGACAAGCCAGAGAUUGGUGUUUCCCCUCUGCGCUUCUAUUGACUACGUUGUUUACUCUCAUGGGAUAGCUGGUUCGGCACCAUGGAGAGAGAUUGGUGGGCAUUGUGGUUGCCCCCAGAAGAAAAGAAGAGUAGAAGAGGUUAUGGGUGGGUCAUGUGAACUGACCUUCAACCCAGUUACUUCGUGGGGACUAUUUGCUGUAUAGAGAAGAUCAAGACUCAAGAGUUAUGGAAAAUCAUUGGAGGUCAUGUUUCCCUUCCUUAAGUUUUUCCUAUCAAAUUAUUUGCCUGAUUAGAUUAUGCUAAGGGUGGGAUACUUUAUGUUAGCAGUUGAAUUAAUUAAUUUUAUUUUUUUGUGUGUUUGCAUCCUUGCCCAUCGAUUGCAGUUUAGUAGUUAGUUUUGUAUUUGUCAGGCGUGAUGGUAAUGCCUGUUGAUGAUGUUUCAGAAUUGUAAUCUGUUCGUGAUGAGGAUGGCACAACUCCGAAGCAGAUGUGGGGAGAAGUUGUGAGCUGCCCUGGAAGCCAGUCCAGUAGCUGUUGGAGUUGAGUGGUGUUUGCUGAUGGCCAGCCCAGGGAGCUACUCUUCUCGACAACACUGACUUCGAGGAGUUGCACCAACCUUCACGAGAUAAGAGUUUAAUUAAUUGAAACACUGUAAGGACACUUAAUUUUUUUUGAAGAACGAAAGAAGUAUGGUAAUAAACGGAAACCGAAAAAAAAAAAAAAUAAUAAUAAUUAUCAAGAAUUUGCACAUUGUUUAACGAAUACUGAGAAACUAAGAACAGUAAUUUAAUUUGUAAAGAGAGCUUCACUAACAGAACAAUUUUUUUAGAAUUGAGAACUCGAGCCUCUGAAGGUCCCUGUGAGAACAAACCAGAUAAAAGUUUUACAUUUAAUUUUAUGAAUACUUGUUGUUUUAAAAUAAAUCUUAUGCAGAAUCUAGAUGUAUGUUCAGACAGCAAGGAACUAAGAAAAUUAUUAUUUUUGUGAAAUGAGGAAUUUAUAGUUAUGGUUUAAUGGAAAAAGACAAUUUGUAAUUUUGAGGUAGCUCGAUGGGGCUCGAGCUCUGUGAGGGGAGGGUUAUGUCGCGGGUUGAAAUUUUGCAGGGUUGUUGAAAUCAAAUUUAGGGACUUUACUGACGGGACUCUGGGCUGGCUGCUCUGUUCACUCGUCAGCGCAAGUGGCGUGACCAUGUAAUUGGGGCACGGGGCCGGCGCGGCGCGCUGCGGGCUUGCAGAAUUUUGUUUGUUUGUUUGGCCGCGCGCUGGCGCAGCCACGGGCCGCAGUUACUGGGGCGCGCUGUCGUAACAAGCCGCGCGGUGUGGCCUGCACAUCGGGGUAGAGGGGGGGUAGUCUUCCCAGAUGUUCUAGUUAGUUGUUUAGUAAAUUUGACUUCAAUAACGAGCUUUUGUUAUGGUAGGCGCGGCAGGGCGCGCGAAUUUAAGCGCAAGUGAUUGGUGACUCGGGGCUCACUCAGGCGGAGGCUAUGCGUCUCACCUGUGGUCACGAGUUGUUAGUUCGUUCGUGAUGUAGGAAUUCAGGCUCACUCAGGCGGAGGCUAUGCGUCUCACCUGUGGUCACGAGUUGUUAGUUCGUUCGUGAUGUAGGAAUUCAAGCUUUCGGGCGGAAGCUAUGGUCGACGCCAGAGGCCACGAGUCGUUUAAUUUAAGUUAGGUCAUAAUGUAGUCGUCAAGCUUUCGGGCGGAGGCUAUGGCCCUCGUCAGGGGUCACGCGUCAUAGUUUUUAAAAUGUAAUGUUCGUUCGGGAUUUCAAGGGCAGGAGAGGCCCCUACGUUAUUUUUUUAAAGUAAUCGAUCAAGAAAGGCUUUUCGGAAAAUGUGAGUAUGGACUUAUCUUUGUUUUAAUUUUAAGUAUUAAUUAUGAUUUGAGGUAUUCGGAAGGACUAGGGAAGUGUUUAGUGAAGUUCUCUCAUUCUCUCUCUUGUAAGGUCGUUCAAUCGUUAAGGAAGUAAAGAGAUUAUUGUUUUAAAUUGUAAUCCUGCUAUUUAAAUGUUCUUUAAAAUGAUGUUGAGUAUUUGACUUUAAGAAUAAAAUAAUUUUAAUUAAGUAUUAUGUUAUUUUGCAAAAUCUCCUUAGUUCAGCUCUCACCAGACAUCCUGUACGGGAUGACGAACCUAUGAUCCUAGGUACAGUAAAGUAUUUUAUGAAGUUAAGACUAGUUGAUGCCAAGCGAGUUGUUUCUAUGUAAAGAGCUACGAUUCUCGCCCCCCCCUCUGAAGGUGGAUCGUGACAGAAAUGGCGGUGGCACCGGCUAGGUGUUCGUGACAAUAUAUCUGUUUUGCAGAUAAUAUGUCUGCUAGUUUUACAGGUUAUGUCAAACCCAGACUUAUGAUGAUAUUAGAAUUUCAUUUCAAUUUAACAAAAAAAAACAGUAAUAGUUUUUAUAGUUUGUUCAUUGGCGGCAGUUCUGCUUUAAUGUUGUUUCGUCGACUUUGAUUAAUUCAACCAUGAUCAUAUUGAAAGUUGGCGGCUGAUCACUAAAGAAUUGAAUACCUUUAUCGUCCUUGGGCAUUCACAUCUUAAGAUUGCUUCGAUGUAGAGUGAAUAUGAUUUUAAAUAUAUACGAAAGGUAGCCAACUUAUUGAGAUGUUAAUUUUACUUGAUAAUUUGGUUUUAUCAAUUUUAUAUUGUUUGAAUUUCGUGUACAGCUUCUGACAAAUUUCAUUGUAUAAAUGCCCAGAAUCUUCUUUCUGGGUUUAGUUCAUACAGACAAGCUAUUACAUUUGAACAUAGCUGUAGUUUGUGAAAAAUGUAAUUUUUGCCAAAAUGCUGUUCAGAAGAGUUAUUCUUAUUUUUGUGUGCGAUCAAGUUGAGAUGUUUAUCCUCUUUCGUGUGUCAAUAUGUUUUGUUACGGUUUUGCAUGGGGACUAUGUACCGUAUUCACCCGAAAAUAAGACAACCCUGGAUGUUAGACGACCCCCCAAUUAUGAAAACAUGUUUCAGAAAAAAUUAUAAAAUCACAAUCUUAACUUCUUUCUUUUGGUGCCAUUGCCUGGAUUCACAAGAAAACAUUGAUAUAAGCAAUAUCUACAAAUAUUUCUAAAAUUGUCUUCUACAAAUAACAAUUUAAAACACUGAAUUAAGUCAUUUCAACUGCUUUUCUUUCUUUCCAGUUUCAGUUAAUUACAUUACACAUUUUACUAUUCUCCACUGUCACUAUGAUCAUCACUUUCACUGUCUUCAUCCAAGUGGUCAGCCAUAACGAUUACCGAAUGUAAAAACGACUUUGUCACAAAUAAACAAUGCAAUUUACGUUCACCAUAGAUAAAUAUGUAUCGUUAACAUAUGCCACUUCAAAGAUAAAAGUACACAAAGUUUGUUCCAUAUUGACGGGACUACUGAUCUUUCGCUUUGCGAUGUUGGCAGCCUGGAACAUGGCUAUGGCAUGCAGCAGAGAAAGUGUCGUAUACACGUCCGUAUUGUUAUCUAUGAGACGGCUAUUGUUUACUUAGCUGCCUAUAUGCUCGUUGCUUAGCUGGAGUAACAUUACGGCAUUUUUAAUGAGUAAGAUAUUGAAAACAUGAAUGCUGCAAUAUUUGGCGUAUGGGAAACCCAUUGUUUGGGUUAUAUUGGAGGCUAUUAAUAAAUAAAUAAACAGCCUUUGUUAUUAUAGGUAGGUUAUACAACAAAACGAUCUUCAAAAAAAAAGUUUGAUCUCGGUUGUUAGAUGACCCCUGAUUUUUUGAAUUCUUUAGAAGGAAGAAACUAUCGUCUUAUUUUUGGGUGAAUACGUUAAGUAAAUUAAUUUAUUUCCUAUCACAAAUCUUAAAUUGAAUACUUAACUGGCUCUAUCAAUACUGAUAAAAAAAUUUCUUACCAUUUACAUGUAAGCGUUCAAUUUUUUUUUCUAAAACAAUUGAAAGCCCUGGUACAAUUAGGUGGUCCUCAGACGUGACCAUGCGUGAAGUUACUCUGUAUGUGUCAAGAUGGUUAGAUUGAAAUAUUUGGGCUCAUCAGCAGGCUGUCAGAGUGUGUGGAUUCCAUUUGCCAUAGUUUUGUGAUGUCAUGAAUGACAUUUGCCAAAUUGAAGGUUUAGUUAAUCUACAAAGGUACAGUAAACACUAUUCGGAUUCAUUGAAAAUAUAUAUUACAUUAUAUAAACCAUAUUAACAAGUAAAAAAAUGUUGUUAAAACUUGCUCACAACAUUUGGCUGGCUGAAAAUGUGUAUAAGAGCAUAAACAAGAGGGUUUCAUUGACAUAUUUUUAAUUUUUAUUGUAUUGUGUAUAUUUUUGUUAAAAUUUAUAGGUCUACCUUUAAAAAAAUUUAUUUAUAGAAUGGCAAUGGCUAUUUUAUGGAAUUCGUAAAUAAAAAUAUGCAAGUAUUUCGAUGAGCAGAUGAAAAUGUAAAUAUCCAAUGUUUAUUCGCAAACUCAGAAUCUGUAUUGACUAGAGCAAGAGCAUAACAAAUUUUUGCGUAGUUUUCUUGAGUUCUUGCCUGCCAUUAUUAUCUUUAUUCUAAGCAAUUAAUAGUGUUAUGGUGAACAACAAAAUGUAAGAUACAGUAGCUUAAUAAUUUCAAAAUAAAACUUUGAAUCUUAAAAUAUAAAAGUACUAUUGAAUACAAUAUUUUAAUAUUUUCGGAUGUUUUAAUAAGCAGCCAAUAAAGGCACUUAGGAAAUUUUAACCUGCCACAUGACUAUGUAUAUUAAUCAUUUUUGGUUGGUUAUAUAGUUUGGGAACUAUUUUAUUUAAGUUUUUUUUUUUUUUUUUGUUCUGGCAGCUCAAAAACAAUAAUUAAAUUGUUUAUGCUGUAUUUUGUGGGAAUAUAAGUAUAUGACCUGUGUUAUUAGUACAUAACUUUAUAUUGACAUCUUCAAUUUGUGUAGUUUCACCGUCAAGAUAAUUCCUUGAUAAACUAUAUUUUGCUCUUUGAAAACCUGGAAAUGUACAUGAAUUUCAGUGUCAAAGUUUGUUGGCCAACCUGAUUAAAGUAAUCCUAUUUUUUUUUAUAAUUAGGUAGAUUUCGGAGAAAGACUUCGUUUUGUAACAGUUACCACUGUACAUCUUCAGGACAAUUUCUACAAAGUUUUUCGUUACAUGGUUGUGUCCCCAAAAUCAUCAUCUCAAAACAUUAUAUAUACACACACACACAUACAUAAAUUUUUAUGAACAUGAUAACUACAUAAUUUUGCACAAAACAUUUCCAGACUAAUGCAAAAAAAAUUGAGAAAUCUCAGUCGAGUUUGUUAAUGGCAAAUAUCUGACUAAUGGGGCAGAAAUGGGGAAGGUUUAUUUUUUUUUAAUAGGACAAUUGCUAUAACCCCCGCAUCCGUAUGAAGAGUUAUUGUUAUUAUACUUAUACCUCGUUAAAUUCUUACCAAAAACUUUUCUCAAAAUAACUGCAAGGAAUAAUAAAAAGAGGUUAACCGACAAAAAAAAA
Long non-coding RNA from Bacillus rossius redtenbacheri, 8927 nucleotides. RefSeq lists it as uncharacterized. NCBI's taxonomy places the organism in Eukaryota, Metazoa, Arthropoda, Insecta, Phasmatodea, Bacillidae. The record is from RefSeq and is a predicted model, not a curated record. The transcript is spliced from 2 exons.